UCGUUUUGUAUUUUCAUAGCAGGAAUCGUCGAUAAACAUGCAAGAAGCAGAAUGGCUGAAGUACUCAACCUUCUGGCCCGACCCGGACAACCCGGAUCAUCAUCAUCAUCACGGGUAAGAGCAACAGUACUAUGUAAAAGAAGAAGCAUAACUCAUUGAGCAGACAAAAUCAUUGCCUUGAUCAAUUUUAGUUACUCGAAACAUUCCUCAAGUUCUUUUCCAAACAAGAGCAGAUAAAGGGACAAUUCACAUAUAUAUAUAUAUAUAUGUCCCUUUAUCAAUCUUCUUCUCCUCUCAUUCCUACCUGCGUGGCUGAUGGCUCAACUGAACUAUAUGUUCAAUAAAUUCCAUGUUGGUAAAGGGAAAGCAAAGACUAGAAAAGAGAAAAGAAAGAGAAAAGGAAUUAAAGAAACCAAGAAAGGCUGCACAAAUAUUACAAGGAACAAAGGUUUAAAGCAAAUAUUCAUCCUGCAUGAAAAUCAUCACCAUGAUGAUUACUAUAUUAUCUUUAUGCUUGUAAUUCUUAUUAUUAUUUUGUUCUUUUUUCAGUUUAUUUGUAUAAUUUGUUUUUACAAGUUUUUUACAAGAAAAUAUUGGUCAAAUACUGCAAAGAAAAUAUAAAACUUUGUAUAUUAUGAGUAGUGGAAUACUUGCAAGGCGAAAACAGGAUAGUUUCCCCUAUACAAUGUAUAAAUUGUAUGCCUAAUGUUACUGUCACACUUCUUUUGAAAUUUGGAGAAAAUCUUUAAUGGCUUUCAAUAGUAAAGUGACUCUGCUGAUAUUACUCUUGGUUUAAGAAUUAGACCGAAACCACUUUUCUUUUUCGUGAUAAGGACGACUAGAUUAAAAUAUUGCAUUAGAAAACUGUAUUUUUUGUUUGUGAUGCUUCGUGUUUUUGUUCUAGCACUAGAUCAGACCCGCAUCUGUUAAUAUGGUUGGCACUGCCCACGACACUCGUAUAUGAAACGGAGGAACACAAAAUGAUAUGGGAAAUUCGUCGUUAAAAAUGCAACGAAAUUUAAAAGGUUUUGUGAUUAUCAUUUUGUGAAACAAUGUCACCAAAGUCGACUGUUGGAUUUUGACAAAUAAACUCUUUCUACUUUGAUUGAGUCUCUAAAGCAACAGAGGCUUGGUUUAUUGGGACAUGGGAUCAUCCGUAGAGGGAUAGGGCUUGACCAGAGUUGGCUAGCAAGCAUAGACCAAGAACAAUGGAGGGAUAGUUUUAUUAUUAUUAUUAUUAUUGUUAUUUUUAUUUUAUUUUUUAUUUUAUUUUCCUUUUUAUUUUCUUAAUUGCUUAUGAAUUCUAACAACUAACAACAUUAUCUUAACAAGUAAUAACUUCGAGCCUUGAGUAAAUGAAGAUGCAUUGGCUCAUGAUAAUUGUUCCAUUUUAAAAGUUAUUCGUUUAGUUUAUCGGCAAGUUAUCAAAAGAUAGGUCUCUUAAGUCUAUUUGAACAUUAUUUUCUAUUAAUUGAUAAUUGUUGUGUAAACAUAGACAAAUAAAUCGAAAAGAAGAUGCACAAUAAAAUCAACAUAGAAAUUUAAGUUGUUCGAUAAUAUGUCUACUUCCUUGUAUGGUGCAAAUAAUCCACUAAUUUCGAUUAUAAUUGCAAUAUGUUGUUCAUAUAUAAUUGUAAAUUCAAAAUUACCCUUACAAUAUCUUACUAUACUGCAGGGAUUUUGCCCCCACACCCCCAAUCUAUCUACGGCUAACCUAAUGGACGAGUUGAUUUUGCUACAGGUUCUAACUUAUCAGUCCAUCACCUUCCACUCCAUCACCUAGCAUUCAUAUGAAAAAAAUGAGCCAUGCACAUAAUCAAUAAUAUUAUUUGUAUGUAAGCUAUCUUAGUAGAGUAAUGUUUCAU
Molecule: long non-coding RNA, 1865 nt
Filed under: Olea europaea (common olive)
Lineage: Eukaryota; Viridiplantae; Streptophyta; Magnoliopsida; Lamiales; Oleaceae
Description: long non-coding RNA (OEUR_LNC005325)
Source: RNAcentral